CACAACAACGGGGGGAGCCUGCGGUUUAAUUGGACUCAACGCCGGACAACUCACUGGGGACGACAGCAAUAUGUAGGCCAGGCUGAAGACCUUGCCUGAAUCGCUGAGAGGAGGUGCAUGGCCGUCGCCAGUUCGUACUGUGAAGCAUCCUGUUAAGUCAGGCAACGAGCGAGACCCGUGCCCACUGUUACCAGCAUAUCCUCCGGGAUGAUGGGUACUCUGUGGGGACCGCUGAUGUUAAAUCAGAGGAAGGUGCGGGCUACGGUAGGUCAGUAUGCCCCGAAUUUCCCGGGCUACACGCGGGCUACAAUGAAUGGGACAAUGGGCCCCUACUCUGAAAAGGGUUGGUAAUCUCACAAACCCAUCCGUAGUUCGGAUUGAGGGCUGUAACUCGCCCUCAUGAAGCUGGAAUCCGUAGUAAUCGCGUUUCAAUAUAGCGCGGUGAAUACGUCCCUGCUCCUUGCACACACCGCCCGUCAAACCACCCGAGUGAGGUAUGGGUAAGGGCACGAACUCUGUGUCGUGUUCGAACCUGUGCUUUGCAAGGGGGGUUAAGUCGUAACAAGGUAACCAAGGGCGAAUUCCAGC
This 588-nucleotide ribosomal RNA is filed under the name uncultured archaeon. Its description in RNAcentral is "bacterial SSU rRNA". It matches the Rfam family "Archaeal small subunit ribosomal RNA", at positions 877 to 1478 of the family's 1478-position model. The record is from RNAcentral.